UACGAAGGGGGCUAGCGUUGCUCGGAAUUACUGGGCGUAAAGCGCACGUAGGCGGAUUGUUAAGUCAGGGGUGAAAUCCCGGGGCUCAACCUCGGAACUGCCUUUGAUACUGCAAAUCUCGAGUCCGGAAGAGGUGAGUGGAAUUCCUAGUGUAGAGGUGAAAUUCGUAGAUAUUGGGAAGAACACCGAUGGCGAAGGCAGCCAUCUGGACCGACACUGACGCUGAGGCGCGAAAGCGUGGGGAGCAAACAGG
Molecule: ribosomal RNA, 253 nt
Filed under: uncultured bacterium
Lineage: Bacteria
Description: partial 16S ribosomal RNA
Rfam family: Bacterial small subunit ribosomal RNA
Source: RNAcentral